CUACAGGAAUGAUUUAAGAAUUGAACUCUUUGUUUCUGAUGGUUUAGUGGAGAAAACAUAAAAGUUCUGUCUGAAUAGC
Small nucleolar RNA from Sciurus vulgaris (Eurasian red squirrel), 79 nucleotides. Its record names the gene SNORD26. It matches the Rfam family "Small nucleolar RNA SNORD26". From Rfam's summary of the family: U26 is a member of the C/D class of snoRNA which contain the C (UGAUGA) and D (CUGA) box motifs. The record is from Ensembl. NCBI's taxonomy places the organism in Eukaryota, Metazoa, Chordata, Mammalia, Rodentia, Sciuridae.